GGAGUUAGCCGGUGCUUCUUCUGUGAGUGAUGUCCUUCCUGCCGGCUAUUAACCCGCAGGCCUUCUUCCUCACUGAAAGUGCUUUACAACCCGAAGGCCUUCUUCACACACGCGGCAUGGCUGGAUCAGGGUUGCCCCCAUUGUCCAAUAUUCCCCACUGCUUCCUCCCGUAGGAGUCUGGGCCGUGUCUCAGUCCCAGUGUGGCUGAUCAUCCUCUCAGACCAGCUACGGAUCGUCGCCUUGGUGAGCCGUUACCUCACCAACCAGCUAAUCCGACAUAGGCUCAUCCGAUAGCGCGAGGCCCGAAGGUCCCCCGCUUUCCCCCGUAGGGCGUAUGCGGUAUUAGCCUGGGUUUCCCCAGGUUAUCCCCCACUACCGGGCAGAUUCCUAUGCAUUACUCACCCGUCCGCCGCUCGCCACCAGGGAGCAAGCUCCCCGUGCUGCCGCUCGACUUGCAUGUGUUAGGCCUGCCGCCAGCGUUCAAUCUGAGCCAUAAUCAAACUCUGA
Molecule: ribosomal RNA, 507 nt
Filed under: uncultured bacterium
Lineage: Bacteria
Description: partial 16S ribosomal RNA
Source: RNAcentral